Molecule: long non-coding RNA, 2224 nt
Organism: Mirounga angustirostris (Northern elephant seal)
Lineage: Eukaryota; Metazoa; Chordata; Mammalia; Carnivora; Phocidae
Exons: 4
Source: RefSeq, a predicted model, not a curated record
AACGGGCUGGGCCUUCCAGGUUGGAGAACAACUCGGCAAUAUAAUCAGAAUUUCAAAGGAACCUACCCUUUAACCUAACCCCUACGCACGUAGGGAGCUGUCCUGCGGACGGGACUGCAAGGAUAAAUUCCUUAGGUGGCUCGUGGCAGCACUGUUUGCUGAUAGACCAGACGUGACUGGGAAAGAGUAAGAGUACCAGCACCUACAAGCAUGAAGUUACCAUUUACCAGGGUGGGGAAGACUGCGAGGAGCCGGCCUUUCAGCCAGCGGGGCUGACAGGAGUGGAGCGCUUCGGCAGAGGAGUGUAGCUCGUCCCUGGCAACCCUACAUGGAAAACAGACAUCCUGACCUCACUCUCCUCCCCCUGAACUCCUGUCUGUCUUGGCCAGCGGUCAAACCCCAUGGAAAGCCAGAAAGGACUUUUCCACAGCUCUACCUACAUUUCAAGAAGACUCCCCUGACCAGUGCUCACUACAGUCCCUGGCAUCUCAGGACACGGUUCCUGGUGUUGGCGGCCUCCACCCAGUGGUGCACCGGAGCUGGCCCAAACCUCCUGGAGAGCUGCCUGGAGUGCUGCCUGGAGUGUGCCCAUCUCUUCCCAACUUCUCUUGAGGGGCUGACCCUGGACAUUUGUGCUGCACUGGAUGACACCCCUGUUGGUCCCAUAGAAACCAAGGUGAAGGACCUGGAAAGGGCACAGCCAGGAGGGCAGGUGGUCUUACCAGCUGAACCAUGACCCCAACAGCUUCUAUUCAUCCUGGGGUUGUGGGUGACCAUGAGGGUAAGUUUGUGGCUUAAAGAGACUCCCUCGCAAGCCUGCUGUGAAGAUGGAAUGGCAAAUCACUGUCUGAGAGUCAGAUCAUGGGCUCAUGAUAUAAUUUCUGUCUUGGUCUUAGAUGUCCCAGUCUGUCAAAUGGAAAUAAGAAAAGGUCUGUGGGUUGGGCACUGGGAAUAGAUCAUAUUAUUUAGAAAGCUGGGCGAGAAGCCAGUUUCUUCUUCUGGAAAUGGUUGACAGGGUCGCAACAGGGGGGGAAAAAACAGAGAAAAAUGUUUCCCCUUCUGCUGUGGACAUGAAUCCAUCCCACAGUAUCUUUGAGAUCCACAGAGCUGGGAUCCCAGAGAGACGCAUGUAUGUGUAUGUAUGGGAUAUUUGGGGAGGACUUCUUCAGGAAAGACCCAGGAAAGAAAGACCCAGAAAAACCUCCAUUUCAGUGGUGGGGGCCAGGAAGCAGGAACUGGACCACAAGCUGGGAGGGGCUCGGGAAUGUGGAGGUGCAGAGCGGUCAGGCCCAGCCCCUCAGCCGCCCCAUCCCUUAUUCCUCAAGGUCCCUGUGUGUCACAUCAGGAGUUCGGGUCAGACCCUCUAAUGCAGCCCCUAAAGGCCUCCAGGCCUUCUCCUGCACUGGUUCCAUCACAGGGGACUGGGCCUGCCUGUGACUACAGAAUGACCCUCGGCUCUGGGCCUCAGGCAUUUGUAAAAUCAGCAGAGUCGUCUAGAGAAGCCCUUCCUAAAGUGGGGCUCAUGAGUCUCAUGGCCAGCAGGGAAUUUGAGAGAAAAAAAACGACCUUGGGCUCAUUUCCCCGAGAAGCGGACCCUGAGACAAAGAUGUGAGUAGAAGUGUUUCACUUGGGAAGUGAUCCCAUGAAGGACAAUGGAGAGACCAGGAGGUAGGGAAGGGAAGGAAACCACCACACGGUGUGUUGAUGCGUGUUUGCUGCUGUGGGCAACUGAGGCUCAGCCCCACUGGGGCCUCUGGGAUGCUGUGUGCAACAUGCCUCGGAGAGCCCCACCCUAGUCCGCUCGGGUAAAGGGCUGCAUCUGGGGCGUUAGCUCCCUGGCACUCCCAGCCUGCCCUGCAUGCCAGUUGAGCACCAUCCUGUGACCAGAGAAAUACCCCAGGUUCAGCAUGUGUUUGCAGUGAGACGCCGUGAGCACGUGUGGGAAUUGGGAGUGCCACCGGACACGAGGAGGGUGUGGCAGAGUCUGCCACACUGACAAGCAAUUUUGUUUAUGUACAUUUCAUCAGUGUGAGAUAAGUGGGGCGCCUGGGUAGCUCAGUCGGUUAAGCGGUUGCCUCUUGAUUUCGGUUCAGGUCAUGAUCUCAGCUUCCUGAGAUUGAGCCUUGCAUCAUGCUCCACACUCAGCAGGGAGUCUGCUCGAGAUUCUCUCCCUCUCCUUCUGCCCCUCCACCCUUCAUUCAAAUAAAUAAAUAAAUCUUUUUUU